AUGAACGCUGGCGGCGUGCCUAAUACAUGCAAGUCGCGCGAACGGACGAGAAGCUUGCUUUUCUGAUGUUAGCGGCGGACGGGUGAGUAACACGUGGAUAACCUACCUAUAAGACUGGGAUAACUUCGGGAAACCGGAGCUAAUACCGGAUAAUAUUUUGAACCGCAUGGUUCCAAAGUGAAAGACGGUCUUGCUGUCACUUAUAGAUGGAUCCGCGCUGCAUUAGCUAGUUGGUAAGGUAACGGCUUACCAAGGCAACGAUGCAUAGCCGACCUGAGAGGGUGAUCGGCCACACUGGAACUGAGACACGGUCCAGACUCCUACGGGAGGCAGCAGUAGGGAAUCUUCCGCAAUGGGCGAAAGCCUGACGGAGCAACGCCGCGUGAGUGAUGAAGGUCUUCGGAUCGUAAAACUCUGUUAUUAGGGAAGAACAUAUGUGUAAGUAACUGUGCACAUCUUGACGGUACCUAAUCAGAAAGCCACGGCUAACUACGUG
Molecule: ribosomal RNA, 496 nt
Filed under: uncultured bacterium
Lineage: Bacteria
Description: partial 16S ribosomal RNA
Rfam family: Bacterial small subunit ribosomal RNA
Source: RNAcentral